Molecule: ribosomal RNA, 809 nt
Filed under: Clostridium sp. AL02-2
Lineage: Bacteria; Bacillati; Bacillota; Clostridia; Eubacteriales; Clostridiaceae
Description: bacterial SSU rRNA
Rfam family: Bacterial small subunit ribosomal RNA
Source: RNAcentral
CGCUGCGGCGUGCCUACACAUGCAAGUCGAGCGAUCUCUUCGGAGAGAGCGGCGGACGGGUGAGUAACGCGUGGGUAACCUGCCCUGUACACACGGAUAACAUACCGAAAGGUAUACUAAUACGGGAUAACAUACGAAAGUCGCAUGGCUUUUGUAUCAAAGCUCCGGCGGUACAGGAUGGACCCGCGUCUGAUUAGCUAGUUGGUAAGGUAAUGGCUUACCAAGGCAACGAUCAGUAGCCGACCUGAGAGGGUGAUCGGCCACACUGGAACUGAGACACGGUCCAGACUCCUACGGGAGGCAGCAGUGGGGAAUAUUGCACAAUGGGCGAAAGCCUGAUGCAGCAACGCCGCGUGAGCGAUGAAGGCCUUCGGGUCGUAAAGCUCUGUCCUCAAGGAAGAUAAUGACGGUACUUGAGGAGGAAGCCCCGGCUAACUACGUGCCAGCAGCCGCGGUAAUACGUAGGGGGCUAGCGUUAUCCGGAAUUACUGGGCGUAAAGGGUGCGUAGGUGGUUUUUUAAGUCAGAAGUGAAAGGCUACGGCUCAACCGUAGUAAGCUUUUGAAACUAGAGAACUUGAGUGCAGGAGAGGAGAGUAGAAUUCCUAGUGUAGCGGUGAAAUGCGUAGAUAUUAGGAGGAAUACCAGUAGCGAAGGCGGCUCUCUGGACUGUAACUGACACUGAGGCACGAAAGCGUGGGGAGCAAACAGGAUUAGAUACCCUGGUAGUCCACGCCGUAAACGAUGAGUACUAAGUGGUCCGGGGGUUACCCCCCUCGGUGCCGCCAGCUAACGCAUUAAUUACUCCGCC